Equus caballus (horse) is the source of this 1608-nucleotide long non-coding RNA. The record is from Ensembl. NCBI's taxonomy places the organism in Eukaryota, Metazoa, Chordata, Mammalia, Perissodactyla, Equidae.
AGGGCGUGAUCAGGAUCACACCCGAGCUCCCAGGCUCAGGGGGCCCUCCCUCGGGCUGCAGGAGGGCAGUCUCAUGUGCCCCGCCUUAGUAGUGGUAAAGCUUGAUGUCUGUCCAGCCCAAGGGCUUGACAGCAUCCACUUUCUGCAACCCUUGACCCCUGGUGCCCAGAGGUCCCCACUGCCCUUUAUCCACUGGGACGCUUCCCCAAGGAUGGAGAGGACAGAAAGACCACUGAUGUGUUCAGCCCACGCGCAGUCAGGCCGCUCUCCAGGCAGGAGCUGCACUCGAAGUUCUUGUACCUCUCUCAACAGUCCAAGGGGGCGGUGUCGUUACCGACUCCAUUUCACAGAGCGGAAAACCGAGGCCUAGAGAAGUCAUGUGACUGCUGGAGGAUGCUUGGCUUCGAGGGAACACAGCCGUGUUAUAAUCACCAUCCUCUCCAGUCCUGAGGUGCUGGCUUUCACCGAGCUGUUUCUUGGGCCAACUCUGGCCCCUCAGCUGGGCUUCCUCCUCCCUCUCCAACGGCACCUUCGCCUGCUCUUCCUGCCUGUGCUCCUCGAAAGUGCGACUGGGCACCUGUCCUGCCUUCCAGGGUCACUGACUCCUCCUACCUGUCACCAUCCCUCAUCUGCAGUCACCAAAUCCAUCAGAAGACCCUCCCCAUGUCUUUUCUUUCUCUGCUCCUGGUACCCCGUCCGACUCCAGCCCAGGGCCCCUAAAGGAGGACUUGGAGACCCUUCCCCGUGAACCCAUGUAGACCACCUGACCCACAGGGCAUCCCCACCAAGCGUGACUGACAGGAGUGGACAACCAACCCACAAAUUGGUCUGUGACGGUGACUGGGAGUUGGGCUCAGAAAGACAACCCGUGUCAGGCCCCAGUGCAUGCUUGUGAGAAAUGCCACCUGCUUGUCACUUGGCCAUAGUUCCAGCAGAGAAGAGAGGCAGUGGCAGCUGCCUUGGUCCUACUUGUGGGUGGGUGUCUCUUCCAACUUCUUCUAGGACAGUAGGUAGCGGGAGAGGUCGGGGAGGACUUCACGGUUACAAGCUUCAAAGCAGUCUAAAAAGACGCGCUGGUCAGCAGAGAGCUGACCAGCCAGUGCCACCAACAUCCGAUUAGCACUUGGUAUUAUUUGGAAUAAGAAUGAAAGAGACUUGGUGGAAAACCCCUCUUUUUUUUUUGCGAAGUCUGUCCCUUGGAGAGGCUCAUUGCAUUUCUUAUAAAAACAACCAACUAGAGCCAGCCGGCCCUGAUGGCCUAGUGGUUAAAGUUGGGCACACUCUACUUCAGGGGCCUGGAUCCCGCACCCAGGAACCACACCACCCAUCCGUCAGUAGCCAUGCUGUGGUGGCAGCUCACAUAGAAAAACUAGAAGGACUUACAACUAGAAUAUACCACCAUGCACUGGGGCUUUGGGGAGGGAGAAAAAAAAGAAAGAUUGGCAACAGACGUCAGCUCAGGGUGAAUAUUUCCCUGCAAAAAAAGAAAAGAACCAACUAGUUUAUAGCCUGGUAGGGAGAAGGGAGUCUCCUGGUUCGAGGACUGGGAAGCGUCCUAACCUGCUGGGCUCUGUUUUUCCUGGGGUGCUGCCCCAUCUGCCCCUCACU